UACGAAGGGGGCUAGCGUUGCUCGGAAUACUGGGCGUAAAGCGUGCGCAGGCGGUGAUGUAAGACAGGUGUGAAAUCCCCGGGCUUAACCUGGGAACUGCAUUUGUGACUGCAUACGCUAGGAGUACGGGUAGAGGGGGAUGGAAUUCCGCGUGUAGCAGUGAAAUGCGUAGAUAUGCGGAGGAACACCGAUGGCGAAGGCAAUCCCCUGGGCGAC
RNAcentral lists this ribosomal RNA (216 nucleotides) under uncultured bacterium. Its description in RNAcentral is "partial 16S ribosomal RNA". It matches the Rfam family "Bacterial small subunit ribosomal RNA", at positions 524 to 737 of the family's 1533-position model. The record is from RNAcentral.